AGCGAACGCUGGUGGCAUGCCUAACACAUGCAAGUCGAACGAGACCUUCGGGUCUAGUGGCGCACGGGUGCGUAACGCGUGGGAACCUGCCCUUAGGUUCGGAAUAACUCCCCGAAAGGGGUGCUAAUACCGGAUAAUGUCUUCGGACCAAAGAUUUAUCGCCUUUGGAUGGGCCCGCGUUGGAUUAGCUAGUUGGUAGGGUAAAAGCCUACCAAGGCGACGAUCCAUAGCCGGUCUGAGAGGAUGAUCAGCCACACUGGGACUGAGACACGGCCCAGACUCCUACGGGAGGCAGCAGUGGGGAAUAUUGGACAAUGGGCGAAAGCCUGAUCCAGCAAUGCCGCGUGAGUGAUGAAGGCCUUAGGGUUGUAAAGCUCUUUUACCCGGGAUGAUAAUGACAGUACCGGGAGAAUAAGCUCCGGCUAACUCCGUG
This 433-nucleotide ribosomal RNA is filed under the name uncultured bacterium. RNAcentral describes it as "partial 16S ribosomal RNA". It matches the Rfam family "Bacterial small subunit ribosomal RNA", at positions 29 to 507 of the family's 1533-position model. The record is from RNAcentral.